Molecule: non-coding RNA, 24 nt
Filed under: Cricetulus griseus (Chinese hamster)
Lineage: Eukaryota; Metazoa; Chordata; Mammalia; Rodentia; Cricetidae
Source: RNAcentral
UGAAAAAGGAGUCCUGAGAACAUG